GAUGAACGCUGGCGGCGUGCUUAACACAUGCAAGUCGAACGGACUUUAUUUGAAGCCUAGCGAAAAUAAAGUUAGUGGCGGACGGGUGAGUAACGCGUGGGUAACCUGCCUCAUGCAGGGGGAUAACAGUUAGAAAUGACUGCUAAUACCGCAUAAGCGCACAGUACCGCAUGGUACAGUGUGAAAAGAUUUAUCGGCAAAGGAUGGGCCUGCGUCUGAUUAGCUAGUUGGUGGGUAACGGCCUACCAAGGCGACGAUCAGUAGCCGACCUGAGAGGGUGAUCGGCCACAUUGGAACUGAGACACGGUCCAAACUCCUACGGGAGGCAGCAGUGGGGAAUAUUGCACAAUGGGCGCAAGCCUGAUGCAGCAACGCCGCGUGAGGGAAGACGGUUUUCGGAUUGUAAACCUCUGUCUUUGGUGACGAAGAAGUGACGGUAGCCAAGGAGGAAGCCACGGCUAACUACGUG
This 469-nucleotide ribosomal RNA is filed under the name uncultured bacterium. RNAcentral's name for it is "bacterial SSU rRNA". It matches the Rfam family "Bacterial small subunit ribosomal RNA", at positions 28 to 507 of the family's 1533-position model. The record is from RNAcentral.